CCCAAAAUCUUUUAGAUCCCAGUUCAUACCAAUUUAAUGUUAAGUUUGCCCCCACAACUGAUCUCGAUUUCUAUUCUCAGCAUUAUAUUGGUGAUAUCUCAGAGUUGGAUGCAUUGGAAGGCUUUGCUAAAGGUUUUCCUGGUUUUUAUCAUAGAUCUGUGCAUAAGAUUUGUCUUGAUUUUUUGUUUGUUUCAGAGAAAGCAGUAUUCUAACAUGGCAUGUUCCUACCUUGUUUUCUUAUUUGUCUGUGUUGUCUCCUGCAUGUUCUACACAAAAUCUUUGUACCCACAAUCUUUGUAUUCUAACAUCGAUAAGUGCCCAAAAUCUUUGUAUGCUUCUAAACAGACCUUUGGUAUUGUUG
RNAcentral lists this unclassified non-coding RNA (361 nucleotides) under Zea mays. Its description in RNAcentral is "misc RNA Zm00001eb237790". The record is from RNAcentral. Lineage: Eukaryota; Viridiplantae; Streptophyta; Magnoliopsida; Poales; Poaceae.